UCCGGCUUAUCACCGGCAGUUUCUUUAGAGUGCCCAACUAGAUGGUAGCAACUAAUGACAAGGGUUGCGCUCGUUGCGGGACUUAACCCAACAUCUCACGACACGAGCUGACGACAGCCAUGCAGCACCUGUGUUACGGCUCUCUUUCGAGCACGCCCCGAUCUCUCGGGGCUUCCGUACAUGUCAAGGGUAGGUAAGGUUUUUCGCGUUGCAUCGAAUUAAUCCACAUCAUCCACCGCUUGUGCGGGUCCCCGUCAAUUCCUUUGAGUUUUAAUCUUGCGACCGUACUCCCCAGGCGGUCAACUUCACGCGUUAGCUGCGGCACCGAGGGGGUCGAUACCCCCGACACCUAGUCCGCAUCGUUUACGGCGUGCACUAC
RNAcentral lists this unclassified non-coding RNA (379 nucleotides) under uncultured Gammaproteobacteria bacterium. RNAcentral's name for it is "contains 16S-23S intergenic spacer region". The record is from RNAcentral. Lineage: Bacteria; Pseudomonadati; Pseudomonadota; Gammaproteobacteria.